CAAAAAAUAGUUUAAUAAAAACAUUAAUUUUGGAGAUUAAAGAUAUAAUGAUUAUAUUAUUUUUUUGA
This 68-nucleotide transfer RNA is filed under the name Dolichovespula xanthicincta. RNAcentral describes it as "tRNA-Pro". Lineage: Eukaryota; Metazoa; Arthropoda; Insecta; Hymenoptera; Vespidae. The record is from RNAcentral.